AGCGUCAUUUCAACCAUCAAGCCCCAGGCUUGUGUUGGGGACCUGCGGCUGCCGCAGGCCCUGAAAUCAGUGGCGGGCUCGCUAGUCACUCCGAGCGUAGUAAUACAUCUCGCUCUGGACGUGCUUCGUGCUCCGGCCGUUAAACACCUUAUUUACCCAAGGUUGACCUCGGAUCAGGUAGGAAGACCCGCUGAACUUAA
This 200-nucleotide unclassified non-coding RNA is filed under the name soil metagenome. Its description in RNAcentral is "partial contains internal transcribed spacer 2 and large subunit ribosomal RNA". The record is from RNAcentral.